Molecule: ribosomal RNA, 255 nt
Filed under: uncultured bacterium
Lineage: Bacteria
Description: partial 16S ribosomal RNA
Rfam family: Bacterial small subunit ribosomal RNA
Source: RNAcentral
GAUGAACGUUGGCGGCGUGCCUAACACAUGCAAGUCGAACGCUAGUAGCAAUAUUAGAGUGGCGCACGGGUGAGUAACACGUAGCUUAUCUACCUCCCAGCGCGGGAUAACGGUUCGAAAGAACUGCUAAUACCGCAUAAGCUCACGAGCUAUAGAGGCUGGUGAGAAAAGGCUUAGGUCACUGGGAGCGGGGGCUGCGGCCCAUCAGCUAGUUGGUGAGGAACGGCUUACCAAGGCGACGACGGGUAGGGGACC